RNAcentral lists this long non-coding RNA (217 nucleotides) under Elaeis guineensis (African oil palm). RNAcentral describes it as "long non-coding RNA (EGUI_LNC009637)". The record is from RNAcentral. Lineage: Eukaryota; Viridiplantae; Streptophyta; Magnoliopsida; Arecales; Arecaceae.
CAUUUACACUUAGACCUCAAAAGUUUAAAAAGUUUUAAAUGGACCCCAGAAUUUUUAAAAAGUUACAAAGAGGCCUAACCAUCUGUCUCCAUUUUAAUAGUGUUAAUGGAAAAGGGUUAAUGACUAAAUGCCCUCUACUUUUUUUUAACUAUCAGAUGGAUUACUUUUUUAGAAAAAAACUACCAAAGCCCUUUCUAAUUUCAGUAUCUUCUCCUGC